This 773-nucleotide ribosomal RNA is filed under the name uncultured prasinophyte. RNAcentral's name for it is "SSU rRNA". It matches the Rfam family "Eukaryotic small subunit ribosomal RNA", at positions 640 to 1440 of the family's 1831-position model. Lineage: Eukaryota; Viridiplantae; Chlorophyta. The record is from RNAcentral.
UUCGGGUAGGGGGCGCCGGUCCGCUUCGGUGUGCACUGGCGGCCCAUACCUUCUUGUCGGGGAUGCGCUUUUCUGGCUUUCAGUAGUCGGACGCAGAGUCGGCGCCGUUACUUUGAAAAAAUUAGAGUGUUCAAAGCAGGCUUUCGCUUGAAUACAUUAGCAUGGAAUAACAUGAUAGGACUCCGGUUCCAUUAUGUUGGUCUUCGGGACUGGAGUAAUGAUUAAGAGGGACAGUUGGGGGCAUUCGUAUUUCAUUGUCAGAGGUGAAAUUCUUGGAUUUGUGAAAGACGAACUUCUGCGAAAGCAUUUGCCAAGGAUGUUUUCAUUAAUCAAGAACGAAAGUUGGGGGCUCGAAGAUGAUUAGAUACCAUCGUAGUCUCAACCAUAAACGAUGCCGACUAGGGAUUGGCGGAUGCUUUUUGAUGACUUCGCCAGCACUUUGUGAGAAAUCAAAGUCUUUGGGUUCCGGGGGGAGUAUGGUCGCAAGGCUGAAACUUAAAGGAAUUGACGGAAGGGCACCACCAUGGCGUGGAGCCUGCGGCUUAAUUUGACUCAACACGGGGAAACUUACCAGGUCCAGACACAAUAAUGAUUGACAGAUUGAUAGCUCUUUCUUGAUUCUGUGGGUGGUGGUGCAUGGCCGUUCUUAGUUGGUGGAUUGAUUUGUCUGGUUAAUUCCCGUUAACGAACGAGACCUCAGCCUGCUAAAUAGUUCCCGCGAACCUUGGUUCGAGGAGGACUUCUUAGAGGGACUAUGGAUGUUUAAUCCAUGG